This 480-nucleotide ribosomal RNA is filed under the name uncultured bacterium. RNAcentral describes it as "bacterial SSU rRNA". It matches the Rfam family "Bacterial small subunit ribosomal RNA", at positions 30 to 506 of the family's 1533-position model. The record is from RNAcentral.
UUGAACGCUGGCGGCAUGCCUUACACAUGCAAGUCGAACGGUAACAGGUCUUCGGAUGCUGACGAGUGGCGAACGGGUGAGUAAUACAUCGGAACGUGCCCGAUCGUGGGGGAUAACGCAGCGAAAGCUGUGCUAAUACCGCAUACGAUCUACGGAUGAAAGCGGGGGAUCGCAAGACCUCGCGCGGACGGAGCGGCCGAUGGCAGAUUAGGUAGUUGGUGGGAUAAAAGCUUACCAAGCCGACGAUCUGUAGCUGGUCUGAGAGGACGACCAGCCACACUGGGACUGAGACACGGCCCAGACUCCUACGGGAGGCAGCAGUGGGGAAUUUUGGACAAUGGGCGAAAGCCUGAUCCAGCCAUACCGCGUGAGUGAAGAAGGCCUUCGGGUUGUAAAGCUCUUUCAGCCGGAAAGAAAUUGCUUCUAUUAAUACUAGGAGUAGAUGACGGUACCGGAAGAAGAAGCACCGGCUAACUACGU